This 1107-nucleotide long non-coding RNA is filed under the name Canis lupus dingo (dingo). Its description in RNAcentral is "lncRNA (ENSCAFG00020003816.1)". The record is from RNAcentral. Lineage: Eukaryota; Metazoa; Chordata; Mammalia; Carnivora; Canidae.
AUGGAUCCAGCAGGGAGGCAGCCUGCCAUGGGCCCCUGCUCAGGGGACCCCCACCUGGGCGGGGCCUCCUGGCUCCUGGGACUCACCAGCCUCCUCCUCAGCGUCUGCAGCACUGGCACCCAGGGUUCUGCAGCCCAUGGUUCUGGAGUUGAGGAUUCUGGAAACCCCGUUUCCCUGAAGGGGAUGCAAGGAGCUUCUGUGUUGUUUCAAGUGCUCAGAAACCCAGACUUGCCUGCAGGAGUCGAGCUGGAGAAGAUGACCUGGGGGAUCUCCUCCGGGGCAAACUACACAACCCUGCUGCAGGUCUCCCCUGGGGCACGCGAUCCAGAAUGGGUCAACUUCCAGGACAAGUUCCAGAAGAGGGUCCGUGUGCUCAACAUUACGACCCUGAGGAUGAACAACCUGACCCUGGAGGACACUGGGCUGUACCGGGCUCGGGGCUUCUACUCCAGAGGAAGACAAUACGACCAGGAUUUCCACCUGACUGUGUAUGAGCCCCUGCCCCUUCCCCAGAUCUGGGCCAAGGAUCGGUUCAUCACCCCAGGCUGGUGCAAUGUCACCGUGAAGUGUGACACCAUGGGAACCAGGGAGGACCUGACCCUGUCCUGGGAGAGGAAGAGACUCCCCAGGGAACUGGAACAACGAGUGGCCCCAGGACCAGCUCCCAACCCCUGGACCCUGGCUCUGAGCCUGCCCCUCAGCCAGCCCAGCGCCAGCCUCACCUGUGUGCUCAGCAACCAAGAGGACCAGAAAACUGUCACCUUGGACCUUGGGGACAUCUGUGGUCAUGAUCCACAGGGACAGGCUGAUGCCUCCCAACUACCCAGCAUCCUGGGGACUGUUGUGGUCCUGCUGCUGAUCCUGGGAGCUGGACUGUUCCUCUGGAGGACACGAGUGAAGAAGAGCCUGGAGCCUGGGAGAGGUGCAGGGUCGCAGGAGGAGCAUAGGGAUCCCGAUAGUGGCAUCUACUAUGCAGAGCUGAGCCAGCAGGGGUCUGGAGACAGCAGGGACAAGGGUAGAGGUGCAGCACAUCUGGAAGGGAACAAGCCUCUCACUACUGUCUACAGUGAGGUCCGCAGGGCAGGCGUGGCCCUGAUGAGGAUUUAA